CCCUUAGAUGUUCUGGGCCGCACGCGCGCUACACUGACGAUGGCAACGAGUUUUUCCUUCGCCGAAAGGUGUGGGUAAUCUUUUGAAACAUCGUCGUGCUGGGGUUAGAUCAUUGCAAUUUUUGAUCUUGAACGAGGAAUUCCUAGUAAGCGCGAGUCAUCAGCUCGCGUUGAUUACGUCCCUGCCCUUUGUACACACCGCCCGUCGCUACUACCGAUUGAAUGGUUUAGUGAGGACUCCUGAUUGGCGCCGCCGCCCCGGCAACGGAGCAGCGGACUGCCGAAAAGUUGUUCAAACUUGAUCAUUUAGAGGAAGUAAAAGUCGUAACA
Molecule: ribosomal RNA, 329 nt
Filed under: uncultured eukaryote
Lineage: Eukaryota
Description: partial 18S ribosomal RNA
Rfam family: Eukaryotic small subunit ribosomal RNA
Source: RNAcentral